RNAcentral lists this ribosomal RNA (422 nucleotides) under Haemaphysalis sulcata. RNAcentral describes it as "partial large subunit ribosomal RNA". The record is from RNAcentral. Lineage: Eukaryota; Metazoa; Arthropoda; Arachnida; Ixodida; Ixodidae.
UAAAUUGCUGUGGUAUUUUGACUAUACAAAGGUAUUGAAAUAAGACUUUAAUUGAGUGCUAAGAGAAUGGAUUUUCAAAAAAAUGCUUUCUUCAAUUUAAAAAUUGAAGUUAUUUUUUUUUGUGAAGAAACAAAAAUAAAAAUUAAAGACAAGAAGACCCUAAGAAUUUUUAUAAAUUUAUUGUAUAAAUGUAUAAUAUAUUUAUUUAAUUGGGGCGAUUAAAAAAUAUUUUAAACUUUUUUUAAAAGAAAAAGAUCCAUUAGUAAUGAUUUUUUGAAAAAAAUACUCUAGGGAUAACAGCGUAAUAAUUUUAGAUAGAUCUUAUAGAAAAAAUAGUUUGCGACCUCGAUGUUGGAUUAGGAUUCUUAUUUAAUGAAGAAGUUAAAAAAAGAAGUUUGUUCAACUUUUAAAUUCCUACUUGA